UAGUCAACUCUAUUGUAAAGUGGCUGGCAAGGUUGUACGUCCUGUAGUCAACUCUAUUGUAAAGUGGCUGGCGAGUUUGUACGUCCUGUAGUCAACUCUAUUGUAAAGUGGCUGGCGAGUUUGUACGUCCUGUAGUCAACUCUAUUGUAAAGUGGCUGGCGAGUUUGUACGUCCUGUAGUCAACUCUAUUGUAAAGUGGCUGGCAAGUUUGUACGUCCUGUAGUCAACUCUAUUGUAAAGUGGCUGGCAAGUUUGUACGUCCUGUAGUCAACUCUAUUGUAAAGUGGCUGGCAAGUUUGUACGUCCUGUAGUCAACUCUAUUGUAAAGUGGCUGGCGAGUUUGUACGUCCUGUAGUCAACUCUAUUGUAAAGUGGCUGGCGAGUUUGUACGUCCUGUAGUCAACUCUAUUGUAAAGUGGCUGGCGAGUUUGUACGUCCUGUAGUCAACUCUAUUGUAAAGUGGCUGGCAAGUUUGUACGUCCUGUAGUCAACUCUAUUGUAAAGUGGCUGGCGAGUUUGUACGUCCUGUAGUCAACUCUAUUGUAAAGUGGCUGGCGAGUUUGUACGUCCUGUAGUCAACUCUAUUGUAAAGUGGCUGGCGAGUUUGUACGUCCUGUAGUCAACUCUAUUGUAAAGUGGCUGGCAAGUUUGUACGUCCUGUAGUCAACUCUAUUGUAAAGUGGCUGGCGAGUUUGUACGUCCUGUAGUCAACUCUAUUGUAAAGUGGCUGGCAAGUUUGUUCUUCCUAAAUGUCAUUCUAUUGUAAAGUAAUUGGCAUUUCUUACUUUUAAAUCUUAAUUUGCAAGGGGUUUGAUUUUGCUAAUUUUAAGAUUAUAGAAUUGUAAAAACAUUCCCUUUAGUAAAUGCUUUAUUUUAGGAAUAUAAGAAU
Mytilus californianus (California mussel) is the source of this 889-nucleotide long non-coding RNA. RefSeq lists it as uncharacterized. Lineage: Eukaryota; Metazoa; Mollusca; Bivalvia; Mytilida; Mytilidae. The record is from RefSeq and is a predicted model, not a curated record. The transcript has 3 exons.